GGUCGCGUAGCUCAACGGGAGAGCAGCGGAUUGUCUAUCCGAAGGCUGCGGGUUCGAUCCCCGUCGCGACCG
This 72-nucleotide transfer RNA is filed under the name Candidatus Rhodobacter oscarellae. RNAcentral's name for it is "Candidatus Rhodobacter lobularis tRNA". It matches the Rfam family "tRNA". Rfam says of the family: Transfer RNA (tRNA) molecules are approximately 80 nucleotides in length. Their secondary structure includes four short double-helical elements and three loops (D, anti-codon, and T loops). The record is from Rfam by way of RNAcentral. Lineage: Bacteria; Pseudomonadati; Pseudomonadota; Alphaproteobacteria; Rhodobacterales.